RNAcentral lists this ribosomal RNA (305 nucleotides) under uncultured bacterium. Its description in RNAcentral is "bacterial SSU rRNA". It matches the Rfam family "Bacterial small subunit ribosomal RNA", at positions 338 to 660 of the family's 1533-position model. The record is from RNAcentral.
CCUACGGGAGGCAGCAGUAGGGAAUAUUGCUCAAUGGGGGAAACCCUGAAGCAGCAACGCCGCGUGGAGGAUGAAGGUUUUCGGAUUGUAAACUCCUUUUGUUAGAGAAGAUAAUGACGGUAUCUAACGAAUAAGCACCGGCUAACUCCGUGCCAGCAGCCGCGGUAAUACGGAGGGUGCAAGCGUUACUCGGAAUCACUGGGCGUAAAGAGCGCGUAGGCGGGAUAGCAAGUCAGAUGUGAAAUCCUAUGGCUUAACCGCGGAACUGCAUCUAAAACUAUAUAGCUGGAGUGCAGGAGAGGUGG